Molecule: long non-coding RNA, 272 nt
Filed under: Solanum tuberosum (potato)
Lineage: Eukaryota; Viridiplantae; Streptophyta; Magnoliopsida; Solanales; Solanaceae
Description: long non-coding RNA (STUB_LNC008114)
Source: RNAcentral
GACGAUCAAAUCUACUCCCCUGGAACUGCUGUGGUGGAGGUCUAGGUGGCCUACUAGAAUAUCGAGGUCUGGGACCACCCUGAAUAUCUCCAUAUGAACCAGCGGGCCUAUCCCUCUUUUGUCUCUCUCUAUCGACCCUCUCAGUCAUAUACUGUAGAUGUCGACGAUCCUCUAUGCCUUGUGCAAAGGCCUGAAUUCGCGAGAUAUCCAUAUUAUCAUUUAGUGCAGCGGUAGAACAAGCGUCGAUAUAAUCUGAGUCAAGCCCUCCCACA